GAUGAACGCUGGCGGCGUGCCUAAUACAUGCAAGUCGAGCGAACGGACGAGAAGCUUGCUUCUCUGAUGUUAGCGGCGGACGGGUGAGUAACACGUGGAUAACCUACCUAUAAGACUGGGAUAACUUCGGGAAACCGGAGCUAAUACCGGAUAAUAUUUUGAACCGCAUGGUUCAAAAGUGAAAGACGGUCUUGCUGUCACUUAUAGAUGGAUCCGCGCUGCAUUAGCUAGUUGGUAAGGUAACGGCUUACCAAGGCAACGAUGCAUAGACGACCUGAGAGGGUGGACGCACACCCUGGAACUGAGACACGGCCCAGACUCCUACGGUGGGCAGCAGUAGGGAAUCUUCCGGGAGGGGGCAAAGCCGGAUGGAGCAAAGCGGCGUGAGGGAUGAAGGUCUUCGGCUGGUAAAGCUCUGUAGUUCGGAAAGAACAUAUGUGUAAUUAACCGUGCACAUCUUGACGGUACCUAGUGAGAAAGCCACGGCUAACUACGUG
Molecule: ribosomal RNA, 497 nt
Filed under: uncultured bacterium
Lineage: Bacteria
Description: partial 16S ribosomal RNA
Rfam family: Bacterial small subunit ribosomal RNA
Source: RNAcentral